GGUAGGGUGGCUGAGCGGUCAAAAGCACCGGUCUGUAAAACCGGCGGCAAUAGCCUACACAGGUUCGAAUCCUGUCCCUACCACCA
RNAcentral lists this transfer RNA (86 nucleotides) under Elusimicrobia bacterium GWA2_66_18. RNAcentral's name for it is "tRNA-Tyr". It matches the Rfam family "tRNA". Rfam says of the family: Transfer RNA (tRNA) molecules are approximately 80 nucleotides in length. Their secondary structure includes four short double-helical elements and three loops (D, anti-codon, and T loops). Further hydrogen bonds mediate the characteristic L-shaped molecular structure. tRNAs have two regions of fundamental functional importance: the anti-codon, which is responsible for specific mRNA codon recognition, and the 3' end, to which the tRNAs corresponding amino acid is attached (by aminoacyl-tRNA synthetases). tRNAs cope with the degeneracy of the genetic code in two manners: having more than one tRNA (with a specific anti-codon) for a particular amino acid; and 'wobble' base-pairing, i.e. permitting non-standard base-pairing at the 3rd anti-codon position. RNAcentral also lists the same sequence under 3 other names. Lineage: Bacteria; Pseudomonadati; Elusimicrobiota. The record is from RNAcentral.